This 350-nucleotide long non-coding RNA is filed under the name Helicoverpa zea (corn earworm). Its description in RNAcentral is "uncharacterized LOC124635161". The record is from RNAcentral. Lineage: Eukaryota; Metazoa; Arthropoda; Insecta; Lepidoptera; Noctuidae.
UAUUUUCUAAACUUUUAAUAUGGCAAUAUUUUAGAACUGUCAAAAUGUCCCAUUGACGUUUCUUAAUAAAGUCAGUUUGUUAUUUUAUUUCAUUGGUUUUGUAUAAAAUAAUGCCGAAAACAAUCAAAAGUUCGACGAGAAAGCUUCUAUUUACUAUGAUUGACUAAUAUAAAGACGUACAAAGUGAUUUGAAUCAGAAAUUUGCAGAGAAAAUACGACGACUGUAUUCAGUCAUUUCACUUUUAGAUAAUAUUGACGAGGACAACGACUACGGGGAAACAAAACUUACAACUGCGGAAAUAGUAAAGAAAUUAAAAUAUCUAUUCCAUCAAAUAAACGUUUUGUAAUAA